AACGAACGCUGGCGGCGGGCCUCAUACAUGCAAGUCGAGCGCGAAAGUCCGCAAGGAUGAGUAAAGCGGCGCACGGGUGAGUAACACGUGGGUAAUCUACCUUUUGGAUUGGAAUAACCUGUCGAAAGACGGGCUAAUGCCGAGUGAGCUUUCUUGAACGUGAAGUUCGAGCAAGGAAAGAUGGCGCAAGCUAUCGCCGAAAGAUGAGCCUGCGUCCCAUUAGUUAGUUGGUGGGGUAAUGGCUUACCAAGACAAUGAUGGGUACCUGGUUUGAGAGAAUGAUCAGGCACACUGGAACUGAAACACGGUCCAGACUCCUACGGGAGGCAGCAGUAGGGAAUAUUGCGCAAUGGACGAAAGUCUGACGCAGCCACGCCGCGUGAGUGAGGAAGGCCUUCGGGUUGUAAAGG
This 410-nucleotide ribosomal RNA is filed under the name uncultured bacterium. RNAcentral's name for it is "bacterial SSU rRNA". It matches the Rfam family "Bacterial small subunit ribosomal RNA", at positions 29 to 431 of the family's 1533-position model. The record is from RNAcentral.